UACCUUAGUACCUGGGUGAAGAGUAAA
Molecule: non-coding RNA, 27 nt
Filed under: Homo sapiens (human)
Lineage: Eukaryota; Metazoa; Chordata; Mammalia; Primates; Hominidae
Source: RNAcentral